UGCAAGUCGAGCGGAGUUUUUAAAAGCUUGCUUUUAAAAACUCAGCGGCGGACGGGUGAGUAACACGUGGGCAACCUGCCCUGNUAGACUGGGAUAACUUCGGGAAACCGAAGCUGAUACCGGAUAAUCAUAGAAGUUGCAUAGCUUCUAUGUAAAAGUUGGGUUUACCUAACACUACAGGAUGGGCCCGCGUCGCAUUAGCUAGUUGGUAAGGUAACGGCUUACCAAGGCGACGAUGCGUAGCCGACCUGAGAGGGUGAUCGGCCACACUGGGACUGAGACACGGCCCAGACUCCUACGGGAGGCAGCAGUGGGGGAUAUUGCGCAAUGGGCGAAAGCCUGACGCAGCAAUGCCGCGUGAAGGAUGAAGGCCUUCGGGUCGUAAACUUCUGUCUAGAGGGAUGAAGAAAGUGACAGUACCUCUGGAGGAAGCCCCGGCUAACUACGUGCCAGCAGCCGCGGUAGUACGUAGGGGGCAAGCGUUGUCCGGAAUCACUGGGCGUAAAGCGCGCGUAGGUGGUCUAGUAAGUCAGGUGUUAAAAUGCGGGGCUCAACCCCGUAAUGCAUUUGAAACUGCUGGACUUGAGGACAGGAGAGGAAAGUGGAAUUCCUAGUGUAGCGGUGAAAUGCGUAAAUAUUAGGAGGAACACCAGUGGCGAAGGCGACUUUCUGGACUGUACCUGACACUGUGGUGCGAAAGCGUGGGGAGCAAACAGGACUAAAUACC
This 727-nucleotide ribosomal RNA is filed under the name uncultured bacterium. Its description in RNAcentral is "bacterial SSU rRNA". It matches the Rfam family "Bacterial small subunit ribosomal RNA", at positions 56 to 786 of the family's 1533-position model. The record is from RNAcentral.